CCUACGGGAGGCAGCAGUGAGGAAUAUUGGUCAAUGGACGAGAGUCUGAACCAGCCAAGUAGCGUGAAGGAUGACUGCCCUAUGGGUUGUAAACUUCUUUUAUACAGGAAUAAAACGAGGCACGUGUGCCUUUUUGCAUGUACUUUAUGAAUAAGGAUCGGCUAACUCCGUUCCAGCAGCCGCGGUAAUACGGAGGAUCCGAGCGUUAUCCGGAUUUAUUGGGUUUAAAGGGAGCGUAGAUGGGUUGUUAAGUCAGUUGUGAAAGUUUGCGGCUCAACCGUAAAAUUGCAAUUGAUACUGGCAGUCGUGAGUACAGUUGAGGUAGGCGGAAUUCGGGGUGUAGCGGUGAAAUGCUUAGAUAUCACGAAGAACCCCGAUUGCGAAGGCAGCUUACUAAACUGUGACUGACAUUGAUGCUCGAAAGUGUGGGUAUCAAACAGGAUUAGAUACCCGAGUAGUC
Molecule: ribosomal RNA, 460 nt
Filed under: uncultured bacterium
Lineage: Bacteria
Description: partial 16S ribosomal RNA
Rfam family: Bacterial small subunit ribosomal RNA
Source: RNAcentral